RNAcentral lists this long non-coding RNA (1656 nucleotides) under Macaca mulatta (Rhesus monkey). Its description in RNAcentral is "lncRNA (ENSMMUG00000051996.1)". Lineage: Eukaryota; Metazoa; Chordata; Mammalia; Primates; Cercopithecidae. The record is from RNAcentral.
AGAACAGACUAGGAGGAGCAAUGGGGGGCAGGGCGAAAAGAAGGGUGAGAUGGUGGCCCCGUGAACUGAAGUGAUGGCAGUAAAGAUGGAGACAAAAAUGACCUUGAGAGAAAUAUUCUGGAGGUUGAAGCAACCACAGCCAUGGAUGGACGAGAGGAAGGCAUAAGAGGCAGCAAGACAUUGGGUGUGAUUUGGGUUUCUGGCUUGAGCAGCAUGGCAGAGACUAUCAAAGAUGGUCAGAGAGGCUCACAACACCAUAGCGAAACCGAAACCUCAUUACAGGCAGCGAAGGCAGAACUGCAGUUGCAGAAAACAGAACUACGAUGCUGAGGGCAAACCAGAGAGUCCCCACCACACAGGGAAACAGGAACGGAGAUGACGGUGGUGAGAAAGAAGAUGGCAGAGAAUGCAAAGAUGCCUUGUGAACCAGAUUGGCAUUUCUGAAAAAGAAACCAGAGUAACUGAAGAAAAACAACAGUCGGAAAUAUACAUGCAGUUCCCAGAAAUGAACACCUGCGUCUAAAAUUGUCCACCCUUUGCCAAGGAAAAUUAGAAUCCAAAAUAUGACUAUUUCAUCCAGAAAUGCUUGAAUUUCCUAAAUGAAUAAUCAAAAAACAGUUUUAACGUAUCCGUAGAGAAGAAAGCAAAGUCAGUGUGGCACUUACCAGGAGACAAUGGAACUGUGUCUGUAUUUUGAAGCUUAACAAGUAUGACUCAUGAAUUCUACAGCAAGCCAAUCUUGUUACUCAUGUGAGCAGGCAACAAAAAGAUAUUGUCACAUCUGCAAGAACUAAGAAAAUGUACCAUCUACGUGUCCUUACCCAACUCUGUCUAACAAGGGCGACUCCAGAACAAGGUUAUGACAUAAAAGGAGUCGGAACCCGGGUGAGGCGACAAGAGCUGAGCUCAGGUUCUCUGCCUCGGCACUCUUGCGGGGAGGCGCCAGCAUGGGCACCCUCCACAGUUUGGGCCCCUCACUCACAAACCUGGCACAUCAAAACAGGCUGGCAAAAAGGUUGGUUUUUUGCUUCUGUACUUUUUGUUAUAAGCCUGUGGUGAAGUGUCCAUAUUUGGCAUAAACGAAUGUGAGUGGUCUUGGGAAUCUAAAUAUAACAUGUUUCUAAGUUACACACAACAUAAAUGAGUGUUUAUGAGUGGUCGUGGGAAUCUAAAUAAAAUACAUUUCCAAAUUACAAACCAACUUACAGGGGGCAUUUUGGUCUUUAACCUGUUUAUUAAAUCAGACACUGCCUGAACUUUCCUCCGAAGGAAGAGGAGAGGAAUGAGCAUUUAUUGAAUGCUAAAUAGGUGCUACUCUCGUUACUGGAAUGCUUCUCUCUGAUCCACCAGCCCCAGGAGAAGGACCCUGUCCUCAUUUUGCAAGCAAGGAAAUGGAGGCUCAGAGGAAAGAGUUUACCCUCCCACCGGGAGCGGCAGAACCAAGAGCCAGCCCCAACUCCACCCCAAAGCCUGGAUGUGGCCGUGGCUCCUGAGUGGGCCGCCCCUGUCCCCUUCUGGGCAUACUAGUUAGGGGGUGAAAUCUGGGAUCACCCUCCUGAGCUCUACCCCAAGAACACUGAAUCGUGUGCUCAGGCUCCCAGCUCAGCACAGCCCUGUCAGCUCUGUGUGUUUAGUGGCCUGGCCCCAGAAUCAAAG